UGUUUGUGUUUUCUCUAAUGGGCCUCAGAUGACUGUUUGCUUAAAUUUGGGUCUCAAAGAAUCUUUUUUUAAUUCUGCCUGUACUCUCCACCCCUCUUCUUCUGUUGCUCAGGUUGAAGCAGAAUUUGCCCGUCUUACAUCUGUUGACCUGAAAGGGUUCCUUUUUGCUGUGCUUGACCAUUAUGGAGAGGUUCGUGGAGCUGUACAAAAUCAAGAGCGGCAUAGAAAGGCUAACUAGGCUCAUAAGAUGCUUCGGAGAUGAUAGCCCUACACAAAGGAAGAGGACAGAGGACCUCAUUUUCUAAAGGAAGAUCCCUCACACACUUUCAAGACUGUGAAGCCGACAGGUAUUGAAGACACGUUUUCUAAGAGGAUGAAAGUUGGCAUUGCGAUGGUGAAAGAAGAAGACCUC
Long non-coding RNA from Pelmatolapia mariae (spotted tilapia), 412 nucleotides. RefSeq lists it as uncharacterized. The transcript has 3 exons. The record is from RefSeq and is a predicted model, not a curated record. Lineage: Eukaryota; Metazoa; Chordata; Actinopteri; Cichliformes; Cichlidae.